AUUGAUGGCAUGAACAUGACAUGGUUAUUUUUUUGUAGGUUGGCAUGAUGAACAUGGUUGAAAUCAAGGCAUGACUUGCAAAUGAAGUGAGACAUGGUGGAAACAAGAAAAUAUGGACCUUAAUGAAUUAUGGAAGAAUGGAGGAAUGGAUUAGGGUUUAGGAUGGUCAAAGUUGAUUAGUUGACUUUGGGCAACCAUUUGACCAAAAAGUCAAUAGUUGACCAAAAGUUAACUUAGGUAGAAAAGUCAAUUUUUUUUGUGUAAUCUCUUAUGUAUGGACAUUUGUAAUGAAAUAAGCAUUUGGUGAAUGGAAAUGAUAUUUGAAUGAAAUUUAUUGUUAAUUAAA
Molecule: long non-coding RNA, 346 nt
Filed under: Lathyrus oleraceus (garden pea)
Lineage: Eukaryota; Viridiplantae; Streptophyta; Magnoliopsida; Fabales; Fabaceae
Description: Pisum sativum (pea) long non-coding RNA (PSAT_LNC029904)
Source: RNAcentral